AAUGGUUCUGACAGCAUGACC
RNAcentral lists this microRNA (21 nucleotides) under Gallid alphaherpesvirus 2. RNAcentral describes it as "mdv1-miR-M4-3p". Its record names the gene mdv1-miR-M4-3p. The record is from miRBase by way of RNAcentral. Lineage: Duplodnaviria; Heunggongvirae; Peploviricota; Herviviricetes; Herpesvirales; Orthoherpesviridae.